UACAUGGGGUGCAAACGUUGCUCGGAAUCAUUGGGCGUAAAGCGCGCGUAGGCGGCCCGGUAAGUCCGUUGUAAAAGUCGAAGGCUCAACCUUCGAAAGCCGAUGGAUACUGCCGGGCUAGAGUCCGGAAGAGGCGAGUGGAAUUCCUGGUGUAGCGGUGGAAUGCGCAGAUAUCAGGAGGAACACCCAUAGCGAAGGCAGCUCGCUGGGACGGUACUGACGCUGAGGCGCGAAAGCGUGGGGAGCGAACAGG
This 253-nucleotide ribosomal RNA is filed under the name uncultured bacterium. Its description in RNAcentral is "partial 16S ribosomal RNA". It matches the Rfam family "Bacterial small subunit ribosomal RNA", at positions 524 to 776 of the family's 1533-position model. The record is from RNAcentral.